CGUGAGGGAAAGGUGAAAAGAACUGAGGUGAUCAGAGUGAAAUAGAACCUGAAACCAUUUGCUUACAAUCAUUCAGAGCCCUAUGUAGCAAUACAGGGUGAUGGACUGCCUUUUGCAUAAUGAGCCUGCGAGUUGUGGUGUCUGGCAAGGUUAAGCAAACGCGAAGCCGUAGCGAAAGCGAGUCUGAAUAGGGCGCUUAGUCAGAUGCUGCAGACCCGAAACGAAGUGAUCUAUCCAUGAGCAAGUUGAAGCUAGUGUAAGAACUAGUGGAGGACUGAACCCAUAGGCGUUGAAAAGCCCCGGGAUGACUUGUGGAUAGGGGUGAAAGGCCAAUCAAACUUCGUGAUAGCUGGUUCUCUCCGAAAUAUAUUUAGGUAUAGCGUUGUGUCGUAAUAUAAGGGGGUAGAGCACUGAAUGGGCUAGGGCAUACACCAAUGUACCAAACCCUAUCAAACUCCGAAUACCUUAUAUGUAAUCACAGCAGUCAGGCGGCGAGUGAUAAAAUCCGUCGUCAAGAGGGAAACAACCCAGACUACCAGCUAAGGUCCCUAAAUCUUACUUAAGUGGAAAACGAUGUGAAGUUACUUAAACAACCAGGAGGUUGGCUUAGAAGCAGCCAUCCUUUAAAGAAAGCGUAAUAGCUCACUGGUCUAGUGAUUUUGCGCGGAAAAUAUAACGGGGCUAAAGU
Molecule: ribosomal RNA, 688 nt
Filed under: Campylobacter coli
Lineage: Bacteria; Pseudomonadati; Campylobacterota; Epsilonproteobacteria; Campylobacterales; Campylobacteraceae
Description: partial 23S ribosomal RNA
Rfam family: Bacterial large subunit ribosomal RNA
Source: RNAcentral